GGAUUAGAUACCCUGGUAGUCCACGCCGUAAACGAUGUCAACUAGCCGUCUGUAUCCUAGAGAUGUGGGUGGCGUAGCUAACGCGCUAAGUUGACCGCCUGGGGAGUACGGCCGCAAGGUUAAAACUCAAAUGAAUUGACGGGGGCCCGCACAAGCGGUGGAGCAUGUGGUUUAAUUCGAUGCAACGCGAAGAACCUUACCAUCCCUUGACAUCCUGCGAAUUUUCUAGAGAUAGAUUAGUGCCUUCGGGAGCGCAGUGACAGGUGCUGCAUGGCUGUCGUCAGCUCGUGCUG
RNAcentral lists this ribosomal RNA (293 nucleotides) under uncultured bacterium. RNAcentral's name for it is "partial 16S ribosomal RNA". It matches the Rfam family "Bacterial small subunit ribosomal RNA", at positions 775 to 1067 of the family's 1533-position model. The record is from RNAcentral.